Molecule: ribosomal RNA, 253 nt
Filed under: uncultured bacterium
Lineage: Bacteria
Description: partial 16S ribosomal RNA
Rfam family: Bacterial small subunit ribosomal RNA
Source: RNAcentral
GAUCAUGGCUCAGGAUGAACGCUAGCUACAGGCUUAACACAUGCAAGUCGAGGGGCAGCAUGACCUAGCAAUAGGUUGAUGGCGACCGGCGCACGGGUGAGUAACACGUAUCCAACCUACCGGUUAUUCCGGGAUAGCCUUUCGAAAGAAAGAUUAAUACCGGAUAGUAUAACGAGAAGGCAUCUUCUUGUUAUUAAAGAAUUUCGAUAACCGAUGGGGAUGCGUUCCAUUAGUUUGUUGGCGGUAGGUACCG